UACGGGGGGGGUAAGCGUUGUUCGGAAUUACUGGGCGUAAAGGGCUCGUAGGCGGCCAACUAAGUCAGACGUGAAAUCCCUCAGCUUAACUGGGGAACUGCGUCUGAUACUGGAUGGCUUGAAUCCGGGAGAGGAAGGUGGAAUGCUUGGUGUAGAGGUGAAAUUCGUAGAUAUCAAGCGGAACACCGGUGGCGAAGGCGGCCUUCUGGACAGUGACUGACGCUGAGGCGCGAAAGCGUGGGGAGCAAACAGG
This 253-nucleotide ribosomal RNA is filed under the name uncultured bacterium. Its description in RNAcentral is "partial 16S ribosomal RNA". It matches the Rfam family "Bacterial small subunit ribosomal RNA", at positions 524 to 776 of the family's 1533-position model. The record is from RNAcentral.